GAUGAACGCUGGCGGCGUGCUUAACACAUGCAAGUCGAACGGACUGAUUGGAGCUUGCUCUAAGAAGUUAGUGGCGGACGGGUGAGUAACGCGUGAGUAACCUACCUCGUGCAGGGGAAUAACGUUUGGAAACAAACGCUAAUACCGCAUAAACUACAAUUUUCGCAUGAAGAAUGUAGCAAAGAUUUAUCGGGAUGAGAUGGACUCGCGUUGGAUUAGCUAGUUGGCGGGAUAACAGCCCACCAAGGCAACGAUCCAUAGCCGGCCUGAGAGGGUGAACGGCCACACUGGGACUGAGACACGGCCCAGACUCCUACGGGAGGCAGCAGUGGGGAAUAUUGCACAAUGGGGGAAACCCUGAUGCAGCGACGCCGCGUGAAGGAAGAAGGUUUUCGGAUUGUAAACUUCUAUCAGCAGGGAAGAAAAAAUGACGGUACCUGACUAAGAAGCCCCGGCUAACUACGUGCCAGCCGCCGCCGUAACAC
Molecule: ribosomal RNA, 485 nt
Filed under: uncultured bacterium
Lineage: Bacteria
Description: bacterial SSU rRNA
Rfam family: Bacterial small subunit ribosomal RNA
Source: RNAcentral